RNAcentral lists this ribosomal RNA (547 nucleotides) under uncultured Glomus. RNAcentral's name for it is "SSU rRNA". It matches the Rfam family "Eukaryotic small subunit ribosomal RNA", at positions 548 to 1098 of the family's 1831-position model. The record is from RNAcentral. Lineage: Eukaryota; Fungi; Glomeromycota; Glomeromycetes; Glomerales; Glomeraceae.
UUGGAGGGCAAGUCUGGUGCCAGCAGCCGCGGUAAUUCCAGCUCCAAUAGCGUAUAUUAAAGUUGUUGCAGUUAAAAAGCUCGUAGUUGAAUUUCGGGGUCAAGGGAUCGGUCAUGCCUUGGUAUGUACUGGUUUCAUUGAUUCUCACCUUCUAAAGAACCAUAAUGUCAUCAUUUGAUGUUAUGGGGAAUUAGGACUGUUACCUUGAAAAAAUUAGAGUGUUUAAAGCAGGCUUACGCUUGAAUACGUUAGCAUGGAAUAAUGAAAUAGGACAUCAGAUUCUAUUUUGUUGGUUUCUAGGAUCGAUGUAAUGAUUAAUAGGGAUAGUUGGGGGCAUUAGUAUUCAAUUGUCAGAAGUGAAAUUCUUGGAUUUAUUGAAGACUAACUACUGCGAAAGCAUUUGCCAAGGAUGUUUUCAUUAAUCAAGAACGAAAGUUAGGGGAUCGAAGACGAUCAGAUACCGUCGUAGUCUUAACCAUAAACUAUGCCGACUAGGGAUCGGAUGAUGUUAAUUUUAUAAUGACUCAUUCGGCGCCUUACGGGAAAC